Molecule: non-coding RNA, 82 nt
Organism: Bordetella genomosp. 13
Lineage: Bacteria; Pseudomonadati; Pseudomonadota; Betaproteobacteria; Burkholderiales; Alcaligenaceae
Source: Rfam
GCCCGAGUGGUGAAAUUGGUAGACGCAGGGGACUCAAAAUCCCCCGCCGCAAGGCGUGCCGGUUCGAUUCCGGCCUCGGGCA